UACGAAGGGGGCUAGCGGUGUUCGGAUUUACUGGGCGUAAAGGGCGCGUAGGCGGAUUUUUAAGUCGGGGGGGAAAUCCCGGGGCUCAACUCCGGAACUGCCUUCGAUACUGAAAGUCUGGAGCACGGUAGAGGUGAGUGGAAUUCCGAGUGUAGAGGUGAAAUUCGUAGAUAUUCGGAGGAACACCAGUGGCGAAGGCGGCUCACUGGACCGUUGCUGACGCUGAGGCGCGAAAGCGUGGGGAGCAAACAGG
This 253-nucleotide ribosomal RNA is filed under the name uncultured bacterium. Its description in RNAcentral is "partial 16S ribosomal RNA". It matches the Rfam family "Bacterial small subunit ribosomal RNA", at positions 524 to 776 of the family's 1533-position model. The record is from RNAcentral.